AUACGUAAAGCUUGUUCUCUCUUGUUAAAAGAGUAUUUAUUCCUUCUUCUGUUUUAAUAUUUUAUAUGUCGUGCCUUUUGUCUUAAAAGGUAUGAGCUUUUUUUUUUAAUCUCCAUUUAAAGACAAAAUGAAUAUUCUUAAAUCGCAGUAGUUACAGUAUUAGAUUUGUUAGUAGUAAAGGUACUUGUUCUUUUUUAGUAUAAACUCAUCA
Long non-coding RNA from Populus euphratica (Euphrates poplar), 211 nucleotides. RefSeq lists it as uncharacterized. Lineage: Eukaryota; Viridiplantae; Streptophyta; Magnoliopsida; Malpighiales; Salicaceae. The transcript has 2 exons. The record is from RefSeq and is a predicted model, not a curated record.